UGAACACAUCUGGUGGUAUCUCAGU
RNAcentral lists this microRNA (25 nucleotides) under Anopheles gambiae (African malaria mosquito). RNAcentral describes it as "aga-miR-317". Its record names the gene aga-miR-317. The record is from miRBase by way of RNAcentral. Lineage: Eukaryota; Metazoa; Arthropoda; Insecta; Diptera; Culicidae.